Molecule: ribosomal RNA, 253 nt
Filed under: uncultured organism
Description: partial 16S ribosomal RNA
Rfam family: Bacterial small subunit ribosomal RNA
Source: RNAcentral
UACAGAGGGUGCGAGCGUUAAUCGGAAUUACUGGGCGUAAAGCGUGCGUAGACGGUUAGAUAAGUCGGGUGUGAAAGCCCCGGGCUCAACCUGGGAAUUGCAUUCGAGACUGUUUAGCUAGGGUACGGAAGAGGGAAGCGGAAUUUCAGGUGUAGCGGUGAAAUGCGUAGAUAUCUGAAGGAACACCAGUGGCGAAAGCGGCUUCCUGGUCCAGUACCGACGUUCAGGCACGAAAGCGUGGGGAGCAAACAGG